This 275-nucleotide microRNA precursor is filed under the name Oryza rufipogon (brownbeard rice). Its description in RNAcentral is "MIR821 microRNA precursor family". It matches the Rfam family "MIR821 microRNA precursor family". The record is from Rfam by way of RNAcentral. Lineage: Eukaryota; Viridiplantae; Streptophyta; Magnoliopsida; Poales; Poaceae.
GAUUUCAAUUGAAAAAGUCAUCAACAACAAAGUUGAAUAACUCAUCAAGAUAUAAAACUUUUAUUUUUGUUAUUUCUUCAUCCGACGAAAUGUUAGUAAUAUUAUUCACAAAUUUUACAUACAUGUGUUAUAGUUUAUAAAACCAGAUAAGAGAUAUGUCAAUUUUGUGAACAAUGUUACUAUCACUUUGUCGUAUGAAGAAAUGACCAAAAUAAAAGUUUUAGAUCUUGAUGAGUUAUUCAACUUUGUUGUUGAUGACUUUUUCAAUUGAAAUC